This 500-nucleotide ribosomal RNA is filed under the name uncultured bacterium. RNAcentral's name for it is "partial 16S ribosomal RNA". It matches the Rfam family "Bacterial small subunit ribosomal RNA", at positions 28 to 523 of the family's 1533-position model. The record is from RNAcentral.
GAUGAACGCUAGCGGCAGGCUUAAUACAUGCAAGUCGAGGGGCAGCACAGGUAGCAAUACUGGGUGGCGACCGGCAAACGGGUGCGGAACACGUACGCAACCUUCCUUUAAGUGGGGGAUAGCCCAGGGAAACUUGGAUUAAUACCCCUUAACAUUAUGAGAUGGCAUCAUUUUAUAAUUAAAGCUCCCGCGCUUAAAGAUGGGCGUGCGCCUGAUUAGGUAGUUGGCGGGGUAACAGCCCACCAAGCCUACGAUCAGUAACUGGUGUGAGAGCACGACCAGUCACACGGGCACUGAGACACGGGCCCGACUCCUACGGGAGGUAGCAGUAAGGAAUAUUGGUCAAUGGACGCAAGUCUGAACCAGCCAUGCCGCGUGGAGGAUGACGGCCCUCUGGGUUGUAAACUCCUUUUAUCUGGGAAGAAAUGCAGAUUUUCUAAUCUGUUUGACGGUACCAGAGGAAUAAGCACCGGCUAACUCCGUGCCAGCCGCCGCAGUAA